CGGUGAAGCCCAGCUUGCUGGGUGGAUCAGUGGCGAACGGGUGAGUAACACGUGAGCAACCUGCCCUCCACUUCGGGAUAAGCCUUGGAAACGGGGUCUAAUACCGGAUAUGAGCUCGCAUCGCAUGGUGUGGGUUGGAAAGUUUUUCGGUGGGGGAUGGGCUCGCGGCCUAUCAGCUUGUUGGUGGGGUGAUGGCCUACCAAGGCGUCGACGGGUAGCCGGCCUGAGAGGGCGACCGGCCACACUGGGACUGAGACACGGCCCAGACUCCUACGGGAGGCAGCAGUGGGGAAUAUUGCACAAUGGGCGCAAGCCUGAUGCAGCGACGCCGCGUGAGGGAUGACGGCCUUCGGGUUGUAAACCUCUUUCAGCAGGGAAGAAGCGCAAGUGACGGUACCUGCAGAAGAAGCGCCGGCUAACUACGUGCCAGCAGCCGCGGUAAUACGUAGGGCGCAAGCGUUGUCCGGAAUUAUUGGGCGUAAAGAGCUCGUAGGCGGUCUGUCGCGUCUGGUGUGAAAUCCCGAGGCUCAACCUCGGGCUUGCAUCGGGUACGGGCAGACUAGAGUGCGGUAGGGGAGACUGGAAUUCCUGGUGUAGCGGUGGAAUGCGCAGAUAUCAGGAGGAACACCGAUGGCGAAGGCAGGUCUCUGGGCCGCAACUGACGCUGAGGAGCGAAAGCAUGGGGAGCGAACAGGAUUAGAUACCCUGGUAGUCCAUGCCGUAAACGUUGGGCACUAGGUGUGGGGCUCAUUCCACGAGUUCCGUGCCGCAGCUAACGCAUUAAGUGCCCCGCCUGGGGAGUACGGCCGCAAGGCUAAAACUCAAAGGAAUUGACGGGGGCCCGCACAAGCGGCGGAGCAUGCGGAUUAGUUCGAUGCAACGCGAAGAACCUUACCAAGGCUUGACAUGUACGAGAAAGCCCCCGAGACGGGGUUCUCUUUGGACACUCGUACACAGGUGGUGCAUGGUUGUCGUCAGCUCGUGUCGUGAGAUGUUGGGUUAAGUCCCGCAACGAGCGCAACCCUCGUCCUAUGUUGCCAGCGGGUUAUGCCGGGGACUCAUGGGAGACUGCCGGGGUCAACUCGGAGGAAGGUGGGGAUGACGUCAAAUCAUCAUGCCCCUUAUGUCUUGGGCUUCACGCAUGCUACAAUGGCCGGUACAGAGGGCUGCGAUACCGUAAGGUGGAGCGAAUCCCAAAAAGCCGGUCUCAGUUCGGAU
This 1218-nucleotide ribosomal RNA is filed under the name uncultured bacterium. RNAcentral describes it as "bacterial SSU rRNA". It matches the Rfam family "Bacterial small subunit ribosomal RNA", at positions 67 to 1298 of the family's 1533-position model. The record is from RNAcentral.